GAUUUCUGACGAAACUGCUAGCUGGCCCGCCACGCAAGUGUGUGAGUGCCGGCUUGGCGUUUGUCAUCCGUUCGAAUGAUAUGCGUGCUGCCCUUCACUGGGUUGGCGCUGCAUGUUUUCGAUCUUUUACUUUGAAAAAAUUAGAGUGUUUAAAGCAGGCUUUUGCUAUGAAUACAUUAGCAUGGAAUAAUAAUCUAGGACUUCGGUUCUAUUUUGUUGGUUUCUAUAACUGAAGUAAUGAUUGAUAGGGAUAGUUGGGGGUGCUAGUAUUGGCCGGCCAGAGGUGAAAUUCUUGGAUUCGGUCAAGACUAACUUAUGCGAAAGCAUU
Molecule: ribosomal RNA, 328 nt
Filed under: Allapsidae sp.
Lineage: Eukaryota; Cercozoa; Glissomonadida; Viridiraptoridae
Description: SSU rRNA
Rfam family: Eukaryotic small subunit ribosomal RNA (bases 106-328)
Source: RNAcentral